UACGUAGGGGGCUAGCGUUGUCCGGAAUCAUUGGGCGUAAAGAGCGUGUAGGCGGCCCGGUAAGUCCGCUGUGAAAGUCGGGGGCUCAACCCUCGAAUGCCGGUGGAUACUGUCGGGCUAGAGUGCGGAAGAGGCGAGUGGAAUUCCUGGUGUAGCGGUGAAAUGCGCAGAUAUCAGGAGGAACACCGAUGGCGAAGGCAGCUUGCUGGGACGGUACUGACGCUGAGACGCGAAAGCGUGGGGAGCAAACAGG
RNAcentral lists this ribosomal RNA (253 nucleotides) under uncultured bacterium. RNAcentral's name for it is "partial 16S ribosomal RNA". It matches the Rfam family "Bacterial small subunit ribosomal RNA", at positions 524 to 776 of the family's 1533-position model. The record is from RNAcentral.